GUUAUUGUAGUUUAAAUUUAGAAUAGUAGUUUGUCGGAUUGCAGGUGAUUUUAAUAAUCUUUUAACU
This 67-nucleotide transfer RNA is filed under the name Eudiplozoon nipponicum. Its description in RNAcentral is "tRNA-Asp". Lineage: Eukaryota; Metazoa; Platyhelminthes; Monogenea; Mazocraeidea; Diplozoidae. The record is from RNAcentral.